This is a non-coding RNA of Macaca mulatta (Rhesus monkey), 1625 nucleotides long. NCBI's taxonomy places the organism in Eukaryota, Metazoa, Chordata, Mammalia, Primates, Cercopithecidae. The record is from RefSeq and is a predicted model, not a curated record.
GGCCCUGCAGGCCUUGUGGGCCGUGGUGAGGACUUUGCCUGUGCUCUGGGCAAGGCGGGACCAGGGCUGGCUGGAGACAGGAGGUGUCCUGAACAAAGAAGGAACGGGAUCUGAUUUCAUUUUAACAGGACCUCGCUGGCUGCACACGGAGAGUAGACCAGGAGGGAGGCAAGAGAGAAGCAGAAACACCGGUGAGGAGGCAACUGCGAUAGUCCAGAGAGAGACACCGUGGCCGCUGGGACCAGGGUGGAGGGAGCGGAGGUGACACAGAGCUGUCAGCCUCUGGGUGCAGGUUGACAGGAGCCUCCUACAACAAGGCAGCAAAUCUAGGAAAUUGCACUGGGCGCUCAUCAUUCAAGCCUGAAACCCCUGCUCCAUCCCAGGGCCGCCAGCCCCCACCCUGGCUUGACACAUCCUUUAGAGAGUAAAAGGCUGCUUGCCGGUGUCACCCUGUCACUCCUGUCCCACCUCUGCCUCCCUCCUGCAGUUGAUGUUCCAUCCACACCUCCUUCUCCUUCACUCCUGCUGCUUGGGAUAAUUGCAGAACCAUGGAGCACAGAAUACAGAAUCCUGGGGGUGUGCGGAAGAGUUUAGCCAAAGCAGAGUCGGAAAAACCUAGGUCUUUUCUAGUUUCUGCCACUGACGGACUGUGUGACCUCAGCAAGUCAGUUCGCUUCUCCCAGCUGCUGUUUCCUCAGUGUACAAUGAGGACACCAAUAAUACCUACCCCACAGCGGGCUUACAGGGAUUUCCCCAGCGGAGGCUUCAGAAAUGCCUACACAGUGCCUGGCUUAUCGCAGUUGCACAAGGAAUAGCUGUCAUCAUGAGAAUCUCUUAAAGAUCACCCAGUUCAACCACGGUUUUAGAAAUGGACAAACGGAGGCCUGGAGAGGGCAAGUAACUUGCCUAAGACCACACAGCACGAUACCGCCAUCCCAGCUCAGACUCAACCCAGGUUCCCUCCUCUGGCCUUGGGAGUUCCAGGUGGCCUGUGAGGAAGGGCUGCCUCCCCCCCGUCACCCCCAGCUCCAGAAGUCUGUCCACACAAGGCAGCGUCGGGGCACACAUGGGAAGCAGUCACUUCACACUCACCAUCGAGCAGGUCUGGACACUCAAGUGCAGUCCCGCCGCCCUCCUUGCAGCUGCCUCACUUUCUCUAUUGCCGCCAGUAAGCGUCUGCCCCCAUCUGGCCCGGGACUCCCGGACUUGAGCUAGGGCUCGGCAAAGUCCAUCCACUCUGGCCACCAGCCGCCGGUCCGCUCUCUGGGAAGAUCGCCUUGAGGACCUGCUGCGCCCCCAGUCUUCCUUCUGGUGCAGGGAGACCGGUGCCCUGCCGGGCUCUGAUAAUGCAGCCAGGACUCUUAUCUGGCCUGUGUCAGGGUGCAGGCGGCCAUGGAGCUGGGGUUCCAGGAAGCCCUCCUGGGGCCCCCCAGCCGGCCCCGCUCCCCCCGGAUGCCGCCUGCUGCUCUGGACGCGGCCGAUUGCUUGUCAGUGUCACUCCCAGCUCUGCCGGGGGGAAUUCCAUGCUGGCCCCCCGCAGGCGGGGCCCCCACCCCUUCACGUCCCACCCCCCACUCCCAUUUUGGCAAGGGGACUGGGAAAAGGCAGCUAAUUUCAAGUCCGCA